AUCUUGCGCAAUGGGCGAAAGCCUGACGCAGCAACGCCGCGUGGGGGAUGACGGCCUUCGGGUUGUAAACCUCUUUCGACAUCGACGANNCCUUCGGGUGACGGUAGGUGUAGAAGAAGCACCGGCUAACUACGUGCCAGCAGCCGCGGUAAUACGUAGGGUGCGAGCGUUGUCCGGAAUUAUUGGGCGUAAAGAGCUCGUAGGCGGUUUGUCGCGUCGGCCGUGAAAACCUGCCGCUUAACGGUGGGCGUGCGGUCGAUACGGGCAGACUUGAGUUCGGUAGGGGAGACUGGAAUUCCUGGUGUAGCGGUGAAAUGCGCAGAUAUCAGGAGGAACACCGGUGGCGAAGGCGGGUCUCUGGGCCGAUACUGACGCUGAGGAGCGAAAGCGUGGGGAGCGAACAG
This 404-nucleotide ribosomal RNA is filed under the name uncultured bacterium. RNAcentral describes it as "bacterial SSU rRNA". It matches the Rfam family "Bacterial small subunit ribosomal RNA", at positions 361 to 775 of the family's 1533-position model. The record is from RNAcentral.